This 253-nucleotide ribosomal RNA is filed under the name uncultured bacterium. Its description in RNAcentral is "partial 16S ribosomal RNA". It matches the Rfam family "Bacterial small subunit ribosomal RNA", at positions 524 to 776 of the family's 1533-position model. The record is from RNAcentral.
UACGGAGGGUGCAAGCGUUAAUCGGAAUUACUGGGCGUAAAGCGUGCGUAGGUGGUUUUUUAAGUCAGAUGUGAAAGCCCUGGGCUUAACCUAGGAACUGCAUUUGAAACUGGAAAACUAGAGUAUAGGAGAGGAAAGUGGAAUUUCUGGUGUAGCGGUGAAAUGCGUAGAUAUCAGAAAGAACACCAAUGGCGAAGGCAACUUUCUGGACUAAUACUGACACUGAGGUACGAAAGCGUGGGUAGCAAACAGG